This 500-nucleotide long non-coding RNA is filed under the name Salvia miltiorrhiza (redroot sage). RNAcentral's name for it is "long non-coding RNA (SMIL_LNC003939)". The record is from RNAcentral. Lineage: Eukaryota; Viridiplantae; Streptophyta; Magnoliopsida; Lamiales; Lamiaceae.
GCAAUAAUCAUCUCAAAAACAAUCACACACCACCAACCAAGCAGGAUAAAACAAGAAAGCUAACAAAAAGAUAAAAGUGAUACACAUAUCUACUCUCACCCCCCUCCCCCAAACUUAUUACAGAACAUAAGUUCGAAAAUAAGUUUGGAGGGAUGAUGAUAUGUGUGUCACUACUCACAGAAAAACAUGCUCCAUGGUGGUGGUAUGAACCAAGCGCGAGUUCCCGCAUCUACCAAGCUCAACGCUGCACUAAAAACCCCAAAACAAAGAAAACAAAGAAAACAAAGAAACAAAAAGAAACUAAACGAAAGGAAAACAAAACAAAGAAACGGUUGGGUUACCUCCCAACAAGUGCUUAAUUUAACGUCUAGAGCUCGACGAUACCUCAAAAACUCAUGGAGGUCGGAAACAGCACUCUAACCAUUGGAAAGCUUUUCUACUCUUGGGUGCCCUCUCCACCAAAACACUUCUCUUGGCUCGAACAUCCUCCACAAGCAUUG